This 27-nucleotide non-coding RNA is filed under the name Cricetulus griseus (Chinese hamster). Lineage: Eukaryota; Metazoa; Chordata; Mammalia; Rodentia; Cricetidae. The record is from RNAcentral.
AACAUUUGUGUCCACUGUUGCCUGAAG